UACGUAGGUGGCAAGCGUUAUCCGGAAUUAUUGGGUUUAAAGGGUGCGCAGGCGGGGGAUUAAGUCGGCGGUGAAAUUUUGCAGCUCAACUGUAAAAGUGCCUUCGAAACUGGUUUCCUUGAGUGUGGAUGAAGUAGGCGGAAUUUGUGGUGUAGCGGUGAAAUGCAUAGAUAUCACGAGGAACUCCGAUUGCGCAGGCAGCUUACUAAACCAUAACUGACGCUCAGGCACGAAGGCGUGGGGAUCAAACAGGAUUAGAUACCCGCGUAGU
This 271-nucleotide ribosomal RNA is filed under the name uncultured prokaryote. Its description in RNAcentral is "partial 16S ribosomal RNA". It matches the Rfam family "Bacterial small subunit ribosomal RNA", at positions 524 to 794 of the family's 1533-position model. The record is from RNAcentral.